GACGAACGCUGGCGGCGUGCUUAACACAUGCAAGUCGAACGGUGAAGGCGGAGCUUGCUCUGCCGGAUCAGUGGCGAACGGGUGAGUAACACGUGGGCAACCUGCCCCUCACUUCGGGAUAACUCCGGGAAACCGGGGCUAAUACCGGAUACGACCUCCUUGGGCAUCUUUGGAGGUGGAAAGUUUUUCGGUGAGGGAUGGGCCCGCGGCCUAUCAGCUUGUUGGUGAGGUAGUGGCUCACCAAGGCGACGACGGGUAGCCGGCCUGAGAGGGCGACCGGCCAAGCGGGGACUGCGACACGGCCCAGACUCCUACGGGAGGCAGCAGGGGGGAAUAUUGCGCAAGGGGGGAAAGCCUGACGCAGCAACGCCGCGUGGGGGAUGAAGGCCUUCGGGUUGUAAACCGCUUUCAGCAGGGAAGAAGCCGCAAGGUGACGGUACCUGCAGAAGAAGCACCGGCUAACUACGUGCCAGCAGCCGCCGUAA
Molecule: ribosomal RNA, 485 nt
Filed under: uncultured bacterium
Lineage: Bacteria
Description: partial 16S ribosomal RNA
Rfam family: Bacterial small subunit ribosomal RNA
Source: RNAcentral